Molecule: ribosomal RNA, 1794 nt
Filed under: bioreactor metagenome
Description: bacterial LSU rRNA
Rfam family: Bacterial large subunit ribosomal RNA
Source: RNAcentral
AGACUAAGUGGAAAAGGAAGUGGGGUUACCGAAACAGCCAGGAGGUUGGCUUAGAAGCAGCCACCCUUUAAAGAGUGCGUAAUAGCUCACUGGUCGAGUGAUCCUGCGCCGACAAUAUAACGGGGCUAAGUCUGAUACCGAAGCUGCGGAUUUCACAGGCGCGAGUCUGUGAGGUAGUAGGGGAGCGUUCUGAGCGAGUCGAAGGCACGUCGUGAGGCGUGUUGGAUUGCUCAGAAGUGAGAAUGCUGGCAUGAGUAGCGAGAAAUGUGUGAGAAACACAUUCGCCGUAAAUCCGAGGUUUCCGACGCAAGGUUAAUCCGCGUCGGGUUAGUCGGUCCUAAGCCGAGGGCGCGAGCCGUAGGCGAUGGACAACGGGUUAAUAUUCCCGUACCACGUCGUGGCGUUUGAGUGAAGGGGUGACGCAGGAGGGUAGGCCAGCCGGUUAAUGGAUUCCGGUGCCAAGCCUGUAGGGUGUUGAUCCGUGUAGGCAAAUCCGCACGGGGAGCUUGAGGGGUGAUGGCGGGGCCCAGAGCCCAGAAGUGGUUGAGCCCAAGCUGCCAAGAAAAGCCUCUAGCGAGUGCCGCGCGCCCGUACCGCAAACCGACACCGGUGGAUGGGUAGAGUAUACCAAGGCGAUCGGGAGAACCCUCGUUAAGGAACUAGGCAAAAUGACCCCGUAACUUUGGGAGAAGGGGGGUCCUGGUGGGUGAAGGGGCGAGCCUCCGGAGCCCGUCGGGAUCGCAGAGAAACGGCCCUACUGACUGUUUAACAAAAACACAGGUCUCUGCCAAAGCGCAAGCUGACGUAUAGGGGCUGACACCUGCCCAGUGCCGGAAGGUUAAAGGGAGGGGUUAGCGGCCGGGAGACCGGCUGCGAAGCUCUGAACUGAAGCCCCGGUGAACGGCGGCCGUAACUAUAACGGUCCUAAGGUAGCGAAAUUCCUUGUCGGGUAAGUUCCGACCCGCACGAAUGGUGUAACAAGUGGGGCGCUGUCUCAACGAGGGACCCGGCGAAAUUGAACUAGGUGUGAAGAUGCAUCUUACCCGCAGCAGGACAAAAAGACCCCGUGGAGCUUUACUGCAGCCUGAUAUUGAGUUAGGGCUCGGUUUGUGUAGGAUAGGUGGGAGGCGAUGAAACUGGGGCGCCAGCCUCGGUGGAGCCGACGUUGAAAUACCACCCUGAUCGAGUCUUGGCCCUAACCCGCGGCCGUGAUCCGGCGUGGGGACAGUGUCAGGUGGGCAGUUUGACUGGGGCGGUCGCCUCCAAAAAGGUAACGGAGGCGCCCAAAGGUUCCCUCAGGCUGAAUGGAAACCAGCCGCAGAGUGUAAAGGCACAAGGGAGCUUGACUGCAAGACCAACGCGUCGCGCAGAGACGAAAGUCGGGCUUAGUGAUCCUACGACUCCGAGUGGAAGGGUCGUGGCUUAACGGACAAAAGCUACCCCGGGGAUAACAGGCUGGUCUUGCCCAAGAGUUCACAUCGACGGCAAGGUUCGGCACCUCGAUGUCGGCUCGUCGCAUCCUGGGGCCGGAGAAGGUCCCAAGGGUUGGGCUGUUCGCCCAUUAAAGCGGUACGCGAGCUGGGUUCAGAACGUCGUGAGACAGUUCGGUCUCUAUCCGCUGUGGGCGCAGGUGACUUGAGGGGAGCUGUCCCUAGUACGAGAGGACCGGGACGGACAAACCGCUGGUGUGCCAGUUGUACCGCCAGGUGCAUAGCUGGGUAGCCACGUUUGGCAGGGAUAACCGCUGAAAGCAUCUAAGUGGGAAGCCCGCCCCAAGAUGAGAUCACCCAUUGC